RNAcentral lists this ribosomal RNA (473 nucleotides) under uncultured bacterium. Its description in RNAcentral is "bacterial SSU rRNA". It matches the Rfam family "Bacterial small subunit ribosomal RNA", at positions 432 to 917 of the family's 1533-position model. The record is from RNAcentral.
UCUUUUAUCAGGGAGGAACAAAAUGACGUGCACCUGAUGAAUAAGCAUCGGCUAACUCUGUGCCAGCAGCCGCGGUAAGACAGAGGAUGCAAGUGUUAUCCGGAAUUACUGGGCGUAAAGCGUCUGUAGGUUGUUGAACAAGUCAACUGUUAAAUCUUGAAGCUCAACUUCAAAAUCGCAGUCGAAACUGUUUGACUAGAGUAUAGUAGAGGUAAAGGGAAUUUCCAGUGGAGCGGUGAAAUGCGUAGAUAUUGGAAAGAACACCGAUGGCGAAAGCACUUUACUGGGCUAUUACUGACACUCAGAGACGACAGCUAGGGUAGCAAAUGGGAUUAGAUACCCCAGUAGUCCUAGCCGUAAACUAUGGAUACUAGAUGUUGAACAGAUCGACCUGUGCAGUAUUAAAGCUAACGCGUUAAGUAUCCCGCCUGGGAAGUAUGCUCGCAAGAGUGAAACUCAAAGGAAUUGACGGG